Long non-coding RNA from Musa acuminata AAA Group (dessert banana), 913 nucleotides. RefSeq lists it as uncharacterized. The transcript has 3 exons. The record is from RefSeq and is a predicted model, not a curated record. NCBI's taxonomy places the organism in Eukaryota, Viridiplantae, Streptophyta, Magnoliopsida, Zingiberales, Musaceae.
CCGUGGGUCAGACUCCAGAAGCAGCCCAACUGGAGGUGUAACAAACAACCCAAUCACGCCACCCCUCAUUCCAAUCAAUCCGUUGAUUCUGAAACUGCUGUGCAUAAUUGGAUUUGACCCGAUGGGGUGCCCUCCAAGAUCCGAAAGUCGCCUCAGGAGAGGAGUUUGCCAAUAAACCCGAAUCCGAUCCAUUAACAUCCCCAUCUCAUCUAUCACACUGUACCUCCAAUUAUUGUCCCUCGAAAUGGACUUGCUCCUGUCAACUCCAAACCCACUAACCCCUCUUCCCUCGGUAAGGGUGGCGGCAACGUCAUCGAAGGUCCGCAAACUUCUAUCGUCCUCAGCCCUGCUACAGUGACUUCCCAUAGGGUUAGAGGCAAUUGGUCACUGUCUCCGUCCCUCCCCAUGCUCGUCGCUUCCCCUUCAAUAGUCGUCCCCCUCCUGCUCCUAGCCUUAGCAUGGCAAUAGGGACCAUUCUUGUAGGCGUUGGGUUCCCAACAAGGAGCUCUUCCAAUACUCUGAUGUGGCUUGGUGGAGGAACUACUGAAGCUUCCAACCCUCUGAUAGCAGAAGCUUUGGCAAUGCUGGAAGAUGAUGGCAAGCUAAGGUCUGCUGGGUUCUGAGAGAGGUUGAAGGAGAGAAGACGGGCCGAAACAAGCUUUGUGCAGCAUUCUGGACUCAACAAAGUGAGACAUUUGGCUGCUUGAUUGCUUGUGCUUACAUGUAAGCAUGAUGUCUUCAAAGGAAGUGAUUACAAGAGAUUGUUUCCUCGACAAUUUAAGGAUGGGAAACAAAAAAUGGAGGCAGCCAAGGUCAUGUGCAGAAUAUGUACAGUAUUUGGCAUAAAUUUAUUUCUGAGUUUGUAAUGGAAAAUUUACUACAUAACAGCAUUUACCUUUCAUAUUGUUCACAA